This 543-nucleotide ribosomal RNA is filed under the name fungal sp. BLH 56. RNAcentral describes it as "eukaryotic LSU rRNA". The stretch from base 185 to 338 matches the Rfam family "5.8S ribosomal RNA". Lineage: Eukaryota; Fungi. The record is from RNAcentral.
CGGAAGGAUCAUUACCUUUCAAUGCAGAAGAGUUGAGAUGGUUGAGUAUCUCGCCUCUCAAUUCUCGCUGUAUUUUACCCUUGUUUUUCUCAUAUUAUUAUUUCCUCGGCAGGCUCGCCUGCCGGGUGAAACAACUUCAAACCUGUUUAAUUUUCAAUCAGCGUCUGAACAAAUUAAUAAUUACAACUUUCAACAACGGAUCUCUUGGUUCUGGCAUCGAUGAAGAACGCAGCGAAAUGCGAUAAGUAGUGUGAAUUGCAGAAUUCAGUGAAUCAUCGAAUCUUUGAACGCACAUUGCGCCCCUUGGUAUUCCAUGGGGCAUGCCUGUUCGAGCGUCAUUUGUACCUUCAAGCUCUGCUUGGUGUUGGGUGUUUGUCCUUGCUCUAGUGGCGGGACUCGCCUUAAAGUAAUUGGCAGCCAGUGUUUUGGUUUUGAAGCGCAGCACAAGUCGCGAUUCAAGUCUAUACGCUAGUUUCCACAAGUCUUUUAUCACUUUUGACCUCGGAUCAGGUAGGGAUACCCGCUGAACUUAAGCAUAUCAAA